CCUUUGUACACACCGCCCGUCGCUACUACCGAUUGAAUGGCUCAGUGAGGCCUUCGGACUGGCUCAAAGAGGUCGGCAACGACCACUCAGAGCCGGAAAGUUGGUCAAACUCGGUCAUUUAGAGG
This 125-nucleotide ribosomal RNA is filed under the name Neopetractis nodispora. RNAcentral describes it as "Petractis nodispora partial small subunit ribosomal RNA". It matches the Rfam family "Eukaryotic small subunit ribosomal RNA", at positions 1657 to 1779 of the family's 1831-position model. Lineage: Eukaryota; Fungi; Ascomycota; Lecanoromycetes; Ostropales; Gyalectaceae. The record is from RNAcentral.